Contarinia nasturtii (swede midge) is the source of this 1110-nucleotide long non-coding RNA. RefSeq lists it as uncharacterized. The transcript is spliced from 2 exons. Lineage: Eukaryota; Metazoa; Arthropoda; Insecta; Diptera; Cecidomyiidae. The record is from RefSeq and is a predicted model, not a curated record.
UCUACAAUCAAUGUGAUACAAAACUAUUUUUUAAAUUCACUCUUAUAAAGUUUGUGACCGUAUUCGAUGGAGAAUCUUAGUAGUAUACUUAUGUACAUUUCGUCCAACCAUAGGCAACAGAGGGGGGUUAUUCAAUGCAAGCAAAUGCGCGCGUAGAAAAGAGAAAUAAAUUCAGUUCAGAUCGAUUUAUGUGUUCUACUACCAUUAUCAGUAGACAAAUCUGACGACAUUCCGCUACUUUGUCUAAUUCAUUCCAACAUAGUCAGCUAAAACCACAGCAAUGAAAUCCCUACUACCGUGCUAGAUGGUGUCGACACGAGUGGACGGAUUUUUAAAUUUAUUUGAACGACGCCAUGUUACUAUACUUGUCCAUUACAACGUACAUGUAACAGAAGAAACACACAGUCCAUUUCCACGCUAUUGGACAUAAUCGAUUUGAACCGUCAAUGUGAACUAGAUCAAGUAUAGAACUUUCCAUAGGAUCAUAUACGAUGAAUAUGGAUUACACAGUCUGUUUCAAAAUACCGUCACCAAUGUCGACACCAUUUGACAAUAAAAUUUUGACAGUAAAAAUAUAUGUUAUUGUUGUUGUCGUUUCAUUGCUGUGGCUAAAAUACCAAAUGAGAUUCACAGUAAAGGUGACGCUAACAUCUGUUCGCAAAUGGUGGAAUUAUUGGAGAAAUCCCGAGACAGAGCUCUUGUUCAACUGAAUGCUACAUGGAAACGUAUAAUGGAACAGUGCAAAGAAAAAUUGCAAUCGGAAGGCCACUGGGAUGAUUCGAUAGACAUAAAUGAUUUGAAUGGCACUGUUGCAAAAUUGGUACAGAUGUAUCCCGUAAUUGUAAAUGUUGUCGAUGGCUUAAAUAGCGGAAUGUCGUCAGAUUUGCUGAACUGCAUUUAUUGCAAAGCACAUAUAGACCACAUCAAUAUUUUUUUCUAAAAUAUCAAUGUUUAUUCCAUCUUUUGAAUGUAACAUGUAAAAUAAUUUGUUCCAAGUCACAAAUUUAUUUCAGUUAUUAUUUUUUCCAAAUUCUUCAUAUAAAACUUUCUUCACAAGCGUUGAAUACGUUUAAAAUAAACUUUGAAUACACUUUUCUCUUCAAUUUCAAA